GAUAAACGCUGGCGGCGUGCCUAACACAUGCAAGUCGAACGAACUCUUUCCUUCGGGAGGAACUUAGUGGCGGAAGGGGGCGUAACGCGUGGGUAAGCUGCACUGACCAAGGGGACAUCAGCUGGAUACGGCAGCUAAUACCGCAGAAGACCUUUGAACUGCAUGGUGCAUAGCGAAAAGGAGCAAUCCGGUUCAGGAGGGAACCGCGUCUGAUUAGCCAGUUGGCAGGGUAACGGCCUACCAAAGCGACGAUCAGUAGCCGGUCUGAGAGGACCUGCGGCCACACUGGGACUGAGACACGGCCCAGACUCCUACGGGAGGCAGCAGUGGGGAAUAUUGCACAAUGGAGGAAACUCUGAUGCAGCGACGCCGCGUGAAUGAUGAAGUAUUUCGGUAUGUAAAGCUCUAUCAGCAGGGAAGAUAAUGACGGUACCUGACUAAGAAGCCCCGGCUAACUACGUG
RNAcentral lists this ribosomal RNA (462 nucleotides) under uncultured bacterium. Its description in RNAcentral is "partial 16S ribosomal RNA". It matches the Rfam family "Bacterial small subunit ribosomal RNA", at positions 28 to 507 of the family's 1533-position model. The record is from RNAcentral.